This 158-nucleotide unclassified non-coding RNA is filed under the name uncultured Hypocreales. RNAcentral describes it as "sequence contains ITS1". The record is from RNAcentral. Lineage: Eukaryota; Fungi; Ascomycota; Sordariomycetes; Hypocreales.
CCGAGUGAAAACUCCCAACCCUAUGUGAACAUACCUUUUGUUGCUUCGGCGGGCUCGCCCCGGGCGCCUCUGCGUGCCCCGGAUCCAGGCGCCCGCCGGAGGACCUAAACUAUUGUCUUUAGUGGAUUUUUCUGAGUGGCUCUUGAGCAAAUAAAUCA